RNAcentral lists this ribosomal RNA (253 nucleotides) under uncultured bacterium. Its description in RNAcentral is "partial 16S ribosomal RNA". It matches the Rfam family "Bacterial small subunit ribosomal RNA", at positions 524 to 776 of the family's 1533-position model. The record is from RNAcentral.
UACGAAGGGGGCUAGCGUUGCUCGGAAUCACUGGGCGUAAAGGGCGCGUAGGCGGCCGAUCAAGUCAGGGGUGAAAGCCUGUGGCUCAACCACAGAAUUGCCUUUGAUACUGUUUGGCUAGAGACCGGAAGAGGUUAGUGGAACUGCGAGUGUAGAGGUGAAAUUCGUAGAUAUUCGCAAGAACACCAGUGGCGAAGGCGGCUCACUGGCCCGGUACUGACGCUGAGGUGCGAAAGCGUGGGGAGCAAACAGG